This 102-nucleotide small nuclear RNA is filed under the name Cavia porcellus (domestic guinea pig). Lineage: Eukaryota; Metazoa; Chordata; Mammalia; Rodentia; Caviidae. The record is from RNAcentral.
UUGCUCCAGGAGUACACAGAUUAAACUUGCAAUGGUACAAAGAAGUUAGGAUGGCCUGCAGCCAACGAUGAUCCUCAAAUUCAUGAAAUGUUCUCUAUUUUU